GCUCACAAACUUGAGAUACGCCCUUAACUUGUUUCCUGGAUCCGCCCUAUUCUAGAUCGGCCAGCGCCCCUUUUGGUGGAGUGGAAGAUAGCUGUAGUGAGUAAAUGUUUUUUUUUAUUAUUAUGGUUACUACAUCUAUUGUAGUAACCAUCGGCUAAGAAUAAUAAAGAGGAUCAAGAGAGAAAAAAAAAUAUCCAAAGGAGAGUUUGUAGUGAAGAAACCCAUAUGAAUCCAAGCUGGUUAAUAAGAAAAAUGAGACAGUUUGUGGCGUUUGUGGUAAAAUGUACAUGAAAACUCAAAUUCGGGGAGGGAACACUAUACACCCCAGAUGUGCCGUCCCUUGCCUCUCUUUCUUGGAGCUUCGUCAUGCAUGAUUUAAUCAACACAUGGAACAACAAUUUAUCAGGAAAGAGCUAAAUAUGUACAUUUAGUGCCUGUGGUAAACAGGUAAACAUUGCCCAGUAUAAACUAGACAUAUAUGACCGCUGACAAAAUGAAAUGAUAUUAACGAGGAAAUCCAGCCGAGCAAUUCCCAGUAAAAUAAUGGUCAAGCGCACGGCCCUGACUCCCUCGUCCCCCUUGAGUAAUUACAAGACCCGACUUACCCUCGCUCCCCCUCCCCACCCCCCAGGCUGUACCCGGUCUCGCACGUGCCCAGCAAGGGGUUCGCGGCUCCCGUGCUAUCAGACUGGUCCUCACACCCCUGCCGAGUGCCACGAGGAGCGGAGCUUCUGAUCUCGGGGCACCUCCUACGCGUGUUGUGACCGCUUGACUGUGUGUUAGACUUGGCGGCGAUUGUGCGUUGUGCUUGUUUAUGUUCACCCGUCCUGGUGUUCGUGCUGUUUAUUUAUACUGAAACGUUGGAGGGAGUUUACUGUCCGGACUCGUGUUCUUUCAUUAUUGUGUGAGGAUGUGAGUUGUUCUCCAGUGACCUGUCAGUUGACGUUGUGAAAUAAGAACCACAACAUUAAGUGCAUUUACAUAAGCAUCAAACCCAGCGGAAGCUUGUUGUAUCACCUUGACUACAGUGGAGAUAUAAGUUUAUUCCAAGGAGUGGCGUGGGAAGGUUGUGCGAGGCGGUCGACUCAAGACAGGGGGCCCACAAGGCUCCAGGAGAGAGCGGCCGCGACCCUCCGACCAGAAUCCCAAUUGCUCCGAGAUUCGCAGCAGCACCUUUGCCCCAGACGCU
Molecule: long non-coding RNA, 1189 nt
Organism: Penaeus chinensis
Lineage: Eukaryota; Metazoa; Arthropoda; Malacostraca; Decapoda; Penaeidae
Exons: 3
Source: RefSeq, a predicted model, not a curated record